This 167-nucleotide ribosomal RNA is filed under the name Tribulus lanuginosus. Its description in RNAcentral is "5.8S ribosomal RNA". It matches the Rfam family "5.8S ribosomal RNA". Rfam says of the family: 5.8S ribosomal RNA (5.8S rRNA) is a component of the large subunit of the eukaryotic ribosome. The record is from RNAcentral. Lineage: Eukaryota; Viridiplantae; Streptophyta; Magnoliopsida; Zygophyllales; Zygophyllaceae.
CACGAACGACUCUCGGCAACGGAUAUCUCGGCUCUCGCAUCGAUGAAGAACGUAGCGAAAUGCGAUACUUGGUGUGAAUUGCAGAAUCCCGUGAACCAUCGAGUCUUUGAACGCAAGUUGCGCCCGAAGCCACUAGGCAGAGGGCACGUCUGCCUGGGUGUCACGCA